This 468-nucleotide ribosomal RNA is filed under the name uncultured bacterium. RNAcentral's name for it is "partial 16S ribosomal RNA". It matches the Rfam family "Bacterial small subunit ribosomal RNA", at positions 28 to 507 of the family's 1533-position model. The record is from RNAcentral.
GACGAACGCUGGCGGCGUGCUUAACACAUGCAAGUCGAACGGAAAGGCCCUGCUUUUGUGGGUUGCUUGAGUGGCGCACGGGUGAGUAACACGUGAGUAACCUGCCCUUGACUUUGGGAUAACUUCAGGAAACUGGGGCUAUUACCGGAUAUGAGCUCCUGCUGCAUGGUGGGGGUUGGAAAGUUUCGGCGGUUGUGGAUGGACUGGCGGCUUAUCAGCUUGUUGGUGGGGUAGUGGCUUACCAAGCCUUUGACGGGUAGCCUGCCUGAGAGGGGGACCGGGGACAUUGGGACUGAGAUACGGACCAGAAGGCUACGGGAGGCAGCAGUGGGGAAUAUGGCACAAUGAGCGGAAGCCUGAGGCAGCAACGCCGCGUGCGGGAUGACGGCCUUCGGGUUAUAAACCGAUGUCGCCGGUGACGAAGAGUGAGUGACGGUAAUGGGUAAAGAAGCAACGGCUAACUACGUG